Molecule: transfer RNA, 72 nt
Filed under: Camelus bactrianus (Bactrian camel)
Lineage: Eukaryota; Metazoa; Chordata; Mammalia; Artiodactyla; Camelidae
Also listed under: 2 other names
Rfam family: tRNA
About the family: Transfer RNA (tRNA) molecules are approximately 80 nucleotides in length.
Source: Rfam by way of RNAcentral
GAGGCUAUAGCUCAGUGGUGGAGUGCAUGCUUGGCAUGCACGAGGUCCUGGGUUCAAUCCCCAGUGCCUCCA